UGGGGAAUUUUGGACAAUGGGCGAAAGCCUGAUCCAGCAAUGCCGCGUGUGUGAAGAAGGCCUUCGGGUUGUAAAGCACUUUUGUCCGGAAAGAAAUCCUUGGCUCUAAUACAGUCGGGGGAUGACGGUACCGGAAGAAUAAGCACCGGCUAACUACGUGCCAGCAGCCGCGGUAAUACGUAGGGUGCAAGCGUUAAUCGGAAUUACUGGGCGUAAAGCGUGCGCAGGCGGUUUGCUAAGGCCGAUGUGAAAUCCCCGGGCUCAACCUGGGAACUGCAUUGGUGACUGGCAGGCUAGAGUAUGGCAGAGGGGGGUAGAAUUCCACGUGUAGCAGUGAAAUGCGUAGAGAUGUGGAGGAAUACCGAUGGCGAAGGCAGCCCCCUGGGCCAAUACUGACGCUCAUGCACGAAAGCGUGGGGAGCAAACAGGAUUAGAUACCCCUGGUAGUCCACGCCCUAAAACGAUGUCAACUAGUUGUUGGGGGAUUCAUUUCCUUAGUAACGUAGCUAACGCGUGAAGUUGACCGCCUGGGGGAGUACGGUCGCAAGAUUAAAACUUUAAAUGAAUUGACGGGGUCAUAGCUGUUUCCU
Molecule: ribosomal RNA, 590 nt
Filed under: uncultured bacterium
Lineage: Bacteria
Description: partial 16S ribosomal RNA
Rfam family: Bacterial small subunit ribosomal RNA
Source: RNAcentral